Molecule: ribosomal RNA, 481 nt
Filed under: uncultured bacterium
Lineage: Bacteria
Description: bacterial SSU rRNA
Rfam family: Bacterial small subunit ribosomal RNA
Source: RNAcentral
GACGAACGCUGGCGGCGCGCCUAACACAUGCAAGUCGAACGAGCGAGAGAGAGCUUGCUUUCUCGAGCGAGUGGCGAACGGGUGAGUAACGCGUGAGGGAACCUGCCUCAAAGAGGGGGACAACAGUUGGAAACGACUGCUAAUACCGCAUAAGCCCACAGCUCGGCAUCGAGCAGAGGGAAAAGGAGCAAUCCGCUUUGAGAUGGCCUCGCGUCCGAUUAGCUAGUUGGUGAGGUAGCGGCCCACCAAGGCGACGAUCGGUAGCCGGACUGAGAGGUUGAACGGCCACAUUGGGACUGAGACACGGCCCAGACUCCUACGGGAGGCAGCAGUGGGGAAUAUUGCACAAAUGGAGGAAACUCUGAUGCAGCGACGCCGCGUGAGCGAAGAAGUAUUUCGGUAUGUAAAGCUCUGUCAGCAGGGAAGAUAAAUGACGGUACCUGACCAAGAAAGCCCCCGGCUAACUACGUGCCAGCAGCCG